Molecule: unclassified non-coding RNA, 823 nt
Filed under: Dactylorhiza viridis
Lineage: Eukaryota; Viridiplantae; Streptophyta; Magnoliopsida; Asparagales; Orchidaceae
Description: partial external transcribed spacer
Source: RNAcentral
GGGUUCCCGGUAGCCUGAUGUGCAAUAAAAAUCUCUCGUUGCCUCUUGGUGGUGGUAAUAAUGAAGCAUGUGGUCUUUUGGUCAUCGACAGUGCGCUCCUAAAUUGCCCGUUUUGUGUUGCGACUCGCCUGCUGGUGUAGCUGUUGACAAAAGUGGAUCGGAGCCUGRAUCGUCCCGAACAUUCGUGYCUCGCGGAGCUCUUAUCCCSYUUUAAUGCYCGAUCCUYUUGGCUGCUSCUCAUCKAUGCUURRCUUYUGGUCGAUGUUGUGCUGUCAUUGGGGCGUGCUUGUUUGGGUUGAUUUGAGACCGUUUGCGGCAUAUGAGUUGCAUUGAACAAUGCUCACUUUGAUCGGUGUUCCCCUCAGUGUUGCUGAUCAUUGUUAAAAGCAUUCGUUUCAUUUUGUUGGCCACAAAUCGCUUUGGAAGUGGUUGAACUAUGACAUGUUGCUUGCAUUUGGAUCCCAUUCACGAUAUUGGCAUUGGCUUUGAAGAAAGACAGACUGAUCUUUGCCUCUGCUUUCAAUGCGAAAAGAGGCAAUGGCUUGGCAUUGCAGUUAUUAUUUGAUCAGCUACUCGGUGAGGUGUAUGUGCGCAAACCAACAUCCAGUAUGCUGCUUGCUGAUCAAUAACUGUGCAUGAUGUUGUUAUAUGGGGCGGCGAAUUAAAAGCAUAUCUCGGUGAGUCAUGGUCACCUUGCGAAUGUGAGUUGCUUUUGGAGGCAAUCUUGCCUCCUAACCUCGUGCAACCAUGAUUCCUCCCUUCCUUCCACGUGCUUGAUGGUGUAUGGUUGGGUUGGUUUCAUGUUGUGUUGAGGUUGUGCUAC